Molecule: non-coding RNA, 29 nt
Filed under: Mus musculus (house mouse)
Lineage: Eukaryota; Metazoa; Chordata; Mammalia; Rodentia; Muridae
Source: RNAcentral
UGUGGUAAUCCUUGGCUCUCAAAUGCCAG